UUUUUGCACGGUUUCGUAUUA
This is a non-coding RNA of Caenorhabditis elegans, 21 nucleotides long. Lineage: Eukaryota; Metazoa; Nematoda; Chromadorea; Rhabditida; Rhabditidae. The record is from Ensembl.